GUGUUUUUGAGGAAAUUGCGAUUAAUGUAGCGAAAAUUAUUACUAACGUAUCCUGAGGUGCGGUCCAAUCCAAAGGCCGGUUGCUACACAUCCACCAAUGGCAUUUUCCGGCGAGUUAACGUCACACCAGGAAGUGAACGUUCUCGUCUUGUGUGAACGUGUGAAGUCUUCACGGAGAAACUUUCAGAAGCGAUGUCCCAACAAGAAUCUGCCAGUAGGCUACCACAUUACACCUCAGCAGGCACACCAUAGAAGGACCACUCCUGGAUAAGGAUUUGAGCCACUGUCACGACUGCCAUCUACACUAUAUUACACACGGCAGCAGAUGUGGGAGGUGGUGAUCAACGUGACUCGUGAGCAGGUGGAGGACUUCCACGGCCCCGCGGACUACUGCUUCCUGUGUGUGGCCUGGAGCCACCUGAGGACCUCCAAGAGCUGGCAAGGACACGGUCCGCAUCGCCCAACAUGGACAAACCAGAUCUGCUGCAUCAUCAGCUGCUGUGACGGGCCUUCCAUGGUGUUGCUGUGAUUAUUGCAAGGACAAACAAAAACUGUUUUGUUUGGUUUAUACAAACCAAAACAAUAUGUAAAUAAACUACACAAUUUGUACUGCUAAAUCCUGCAAUUGUAAGUAGUUAUUAAGUAAUGGCUGUGUGCAUUUGUAUUAGUAAAAGCAGCAUAUAAUAAAAAUACAUUACACAUACGUAAAGCCUGUUCUGGCCUUUUCUGUUCAGCAUUUAUGAGAAGUCAAAUGGUAAAGGCAUGUUAAUAUACAGGUCUCAAGCACAAGAAACAUUGGGAUGAUAAUAGUAAGUGUUUAUUUAAAAAAUAAACGAGUUAAAAGUCAACACGACUCAUGACGUAAAUGUAUAUGGGGGUUCUUCUUGUGUUGUUGGUCAACACAUUGCUUCAGGGACUGAAAGCAGUACUAUGUAUUACUUAAGUCAUAUUGGUUGAGACAUCAGGUACGUUUAAUGAAAUGUAAAUGACUGUUAUUAAAAUGGAGGAUAAAGGGCUGGAGCUGGAGCUCGCUGGCAGGUUCCAUCUUCAUGAUCUCCACACACCCAUCUGAAUGAACAAACAUGAAGAAAAUAAACCAGGAAGUUUUAAUCAUGAAGCUGUGGUACCAUGGUGUAUGAAAAUAGCUGGAUAGCUGUUUUGUCUGUGGGAUGUUCAAGCAUAUACAAACACACCACAUUUUAAAAAUGUCAUACAUGCUUUAACAACCGUUGCACAUAAAGGUAAAUCACUCCAAUGUCACUUCAUGUUCUACUUCAGUAAUUAUAGUUGCAAAUAUCUUUGUAGUAGCUGUACAUUGGCAUUUUCUGACAUCGAUUUAGCAGUAGGCCUAGUGUGUGUUGACCUUUCAUAUCUGUUUAGCUACAUACACCACCGUCAGGAUACUGUGUGUGGUGGGCUAGACAUUAAAUACAGGGCACAUCAAGAUUC
Engraulis encrasicolus (European anchovy) is the source of this 1449-nucleotide long non-coding RNA. RefSeq lists it as uncharacterized. The transcript is spliced from 5 exons. NCBI's taxonomy places the organism in Eukaryota, Metazoa, Chordata, Actinopteri, Clupeiformes, Engraulidae. The record is from RefSeq and is a predicted model, not a curated record.